RNAcentral lists this ribosomal RNA (253 nucleotides) under uncultured bacterium. Its description in RNAcentral is "partial 16S ribosomal RNA". It matches the Rfam family "Bacterial small subunit ribosomal RNA", at positions 524 to 776 of the family's 1533-position model. The record is from RNAcentral.
AACGUAGGUGGCGAGCGUUAUCCGGAUUUACUGGGCGUAAAGGGUGUGCAGGCGGGCUGUUAAGUGGUGUAUGAAAUAUCCCGGCUCAACCGGGAAGGGUUAUGCCAGACUGGCAGUCUAGAGAGCGAGAGAGGGACGUGGAAUUCCGGGUGUAGUGGUGAAAUGCGUAGAGAUCCGGAGGAACACCGAAGGCGAAGGCAGUGUCCUGGCGAGUGACUGACGCUGAGGUGCGAAAGCUAGGGGAGCGAACGGG